UCCUGGCUUAGGAUGAACGCUAGCUACAGGCUUAACACAUGCAAGUACGAGGGGUAACAUGAUUGGAGCUUGCUCCGAUUGAUGACGACCGGCGCACGGGUGAGUAACGCGUAUCCAACCUGCCCCAUGCUCAGGGAUAACCUUCCGAAAGGGAGCCUAAUACCUGAUGUUGUGCGACGAUGGCAUCAGAAUUGCACGAAAGAUUCAUCGGCAUGGGAUGGGGGAUGCGUCUGAUUAGCUUGCCGGCGGGGUAACGGCCCACCGGGGCUACGAUCAGUAGGGGUUCUGAGAGGAAGGUCCCCCCACACUGGUACUGAGACACGGACCAGACUCCUACGGGAGGCAGCAGUGAGGAAUAUUGGUCAAUGGGCGGGAGCCUGAACCAGCCAAGUAGCGUGCAGGAAGACGGCCCUACGGGUUGUAAACUGCUUUUAUGAGGGGAUAAAGUGGGCUACGUGUAGCUUAUUGCAGGUACCUCAUGAAUAAGGACCGGCUAAUUCCGUGCCAGCCGCGGC
This 515-nucleotide ribosomal RNA is filed under the name uncultured bacterium. Its description in RNAcentral is "bacterial SSU rRNA". It matches the Rfam family "Bacterial small subunit ribosomal RNA", at positions 17 to 518 of the family's 1533-position model. The record is from RNAcentral.